RNAcentral lists this ribosomal RNA (2508 nucleotides) under Triticum aestivum (bread wheat). RNAcentral's name for it is "partial small subunit ribosomal RNA". Lineage: Eukaryota; Viridiplantae; Streptophyta; Magnoliopsida; Poales; Poaceae. The record is from RNAcentral.
AUGCCGCCGGCGGCCGGGGAGCUCGCCGGAGCUCGCGGGGGAGUGGAGGCGGAGAGGGUCUUCAUUGGCGCCGGGUGCAACCGUGUCGUGAACAAUGUCUCGUGGGGCGCCUGUGGUCUCGUCGCCUUCGGCGCCCAGAACGCCGUCGCCCUUUUCUCCCCUUCGAGAGGGGAGAUCGUGACGACGCUGCCGGGGCACAAGGCGGCGGUGAACUGCACGCUGUGGCUGCCAACCAAGAAGGAUGUACUCCAAGUUCAAAGCAGGGAGACACACUAUCUAUUGUCUGGAAGUUCUGAUGGUGCUAUUAUGGCAUGGAAGAUUGGUUCUGGAAUAGGCAAGUGGUCUCAUGUUUUGCAACUACCAGCCAUGCAUAAGAAAGGCGUCACCUGUCUUGCUGGAAGAAUGGUGUCGGAUAGGGUAUCAAUUUUCGCUUCCACCUCCUCAGAUGGUAUAGUGGUUAUUUGGGAAAUGGUGGUUGAGCCGACUGCUGAUGGCUCCUGCAAAGUGUCUUGUUUGCAUUCUCUUUCCGUUGGUUUAAAACCAAUGGUUUCACUUUCAUUAGUGGUGUUGCCGGAACAGGAAGGCCUAAUUUUAGCAAUGGGGGGAUUAGAUCAUAAGGUCCACAUAUAUUGUGGGGAUCAGUCAGGCAAGUUCAUUAAAGCCUGUGAACUUAAGGGCCAUUCUGACUGGAUUAGAAGUUUAGACUUUUCUUUACCUGUGAUGACGAGCAGUGAGAAACACAGCCUUUUUCUCGUUAGCUCGUCUCAGGACAAAACCAUUCGGAUAUGGAAGAUGACUUCAGAUGUGCAACAAAGGAAGGAUAAUAUUGGGAUGGCCUCCUACAUUGAAGGUCCUCUAUUUGUGGCAGGUAAUACAAGUUACCAGGUAUCAUUGGAGUCUCUUCUUGUUGGGCAUGAAGAUUGGGUAUAUUCAGUAGAGUGGCAGCCUCCUAGACUGCUACUUGGUGGUGAAGCUCAUCAGCCAAUGAGCAUAUUAUCUGCAUCUAUGGACAAGAUGAUGAUGAUAUGGAGGCCUGAAAAAAAUACCGGCCUUUGGAUAAAUUCAGUGACAGUUGGUGAAUUAAGUCACUCAGCACUUGGAUUUUAUGGUGGCCAUUGGGAACCUGAUGGUAAAUCAAUUCUUGCACAUGGCUAUGGUGGAUUUUUUCAUAUGUGGAGAGAUGUUGGACUGGAUUCGGAAAAUUGGCAGCCCCAGAUUGUCCCAUCUGGUCAUUUUGCACCCGUAUCUGACUUAACAUGGUCUAGAUCUGGCGAAUAUUUGCUAACAGUUAGCCAUGACCAGACAGCACGCAUAUUUGCUCCUUGGAGAAGUCAUGUUAACCCAGGAGAUGUGAUUUGUUGGCGCGAAAUUGCUCGCCCCCAAAUCCAUGGGCAUGACAUUAACUGUGUGGCAUUCAUUCAGGGUACAGGAAACCACCGGUUUGUUUGUGGUGCUGAUGAAAAGGUCUGUAGAGUCUUUGAAGCUACUUUAUCAUUCCUCAAGACCCUACAGGAAGCAACUUUGUUGAAACCUGACAAUGAGGAUUUUGACAAUGUGCAAGUCCUUGGAGCAAAUAUGUCUGCUCUUGGGCUUUCACAGAAACCUAUAUAUACACAUGGAAAGGAAUCCCCAAGCAGCGCUUCUAAUGAUGGUCCAGAUUCCAUGGAGACGAUUCCUGAUGCAGUGCCAACUGUGUUUACUGAGCCUCCUGUGGAGGACCAGCUUGCAUGGAAUACCUUAUGGCCUGAAUCUCACAAACUUUAUGGGCAUGGAAAUGAACUCUUUUCCAUCUGCUGUGAUCAUGCAGGGAAGCUCAUUGCAUCGUCGUGCAAGGCUCAAUCGGCACCAGUUGCUGAGAUCUGGCUCUGGGAAGUUGGAACAUGGAAAGCCGUUGGCCGCUUGCAGUCUCACAAUCUGACGGUUACGCAAAUGGAAUUUUCUUCUGACAAUGCUUUUCUUCUGAGUGUAUCAAGGGAUCGUCACUUGUCUGUCUUUUCGAUUAAGAAAACUGAGGAAGGGGCACAGCAUCACCUGGUUACAAAGCAUGAAGCGCACAAAAGAAUCAUAUGGGCAUGCUCGUGGAACCCAUUUGGGUACGAAUUUGCAACUGGUUCAAGGGACAAGACUGUCAAGAUAUGGUGUGUUCAAGAUGCAUCUUCCGUCAAGCUGCUCGCCACAUUGCCUCAGUUCCGUGAGAGUGUCACAGCAUUGGCCUGGACGGGCCGUGACCGUGCUCGUAAUGCCGGCAUUAUUGCUGUUGGCAUGGACAAUGGACUGAUCGAGCUCUGGAGUGUUUCAGGGGGGAGAGCUGCUUCAGACAGUAGCUCAGAUCCACCCCUCCUCAGCGUCGCAUGCAUGCUCCGGUUGGAUCCUCUGUUGUGUCAUGUGUCAACUGUGCACCGUUUGCGGUGGCAGAAACCCGACUCGGCUGAUGAGAAAGCAGCAAUCGAGCUGGCUUCUUGUGGAUCUGAUCACUGCGUCAGGGUGUUUGCAGUGCGUGAUACUUGA